This 371-nucleotide ribosomal RNA is filed under the name uncultured bacterium. RNAcentral describes it as "bacterial SSU rRNA". It matches the Rfam family "Bacterial small subunit ribosomal RNA", at positions 527 to 895 of the family's 1533-position model. The record is from RNAcentral.
GUAGGGUGCGAGCGUUGUCCGGAAUUACUGGGCGUAAAGAGCUCGUAGGUGGUUUGUCGCGUUGUUCGUGAAAACUCACAGCUCAACUGUGGGCGUGCGGGCGAUACGGGCAGACUAGAGUACUGCAGGGGAGACUGGAAUUCCUGGUGUAGCGGUGGAAUGCGCAGAUAUCAGGAGGAACACCGGUGGCGAAGGCGGGUCUCUGGGCAGUAACUGACGCUGAGGAGCGAAAGCGUGGGGAGCGAACAGGAUUAGAUACCCUGGUAGUCCACGCCGUAAACGGUGGGUACUAGGUGUGGGUUUCCUUCCUUGGGAUCCGUGCCGUAGCUAACGCAUUAAGUACCCCGCCUGGGGAGUACGGCCGCAAGGCU